RNAcentral lists this transfer RNA (74 nucleotides) under Bacteroidota bacterium. RNAcentral describes it as "Bacteroidetes bacterium (sediment metagenome) tRNA-Asp". It matches the Rfam family "tRNA". Rfam says of the family: Transfer RNA (tRNA) molecules are approximately 80 nucleotides in length. Lineage: Bacteria; Pseudomonadati; Bacteroidota. The record is from RNAcentral.
GAUGGCGUAGUUCAACGGUGGAAUAGGGGACUGUCUAUCCUCAGGUACGGGUUCGAUUCCCGUCGUCAUCGCCA